Molecule: ribosomal RNA, 439 nt
Filed under: uncultured bacterium
Lineage: Bacteria
Description: partial 16S ribosomal RNA
Rfam family: Bacterial small subunit ribosomal RNA
Source: RNAcentral
CUACGGGUGGCUGCAGUGAGGAAUAUUGCACAAUGGGGGGAAAACUGAUGCAGCAACGCCGCGUGGAGGAGGACGCCUUUCUUUUUUCAAACUCCUGGGGGAGGGAAAGAAAAUGACGGUAGCAUAUGAAUAAGCACCGGCUAACUCCGUGCCAGCAGCCGCGGUAAUACGGAGGGUGCAAGCGUUACUCGGAAUCACUGGGCGUAAAGGACGCGUAGGCGGGUUGGAAAGUCAGGUGUGAAAUCCUACAGCUUAACUGUAGAACUGCACUUGAAACUUCUAAUCUAGAGUAUGGGAGGGGGAGAUGGAAUUAGUGGUGUAGGGGUAAAAUCCGUAGAUAUCACUAGGAAUACCUAAAGCGAAGGCGAUCUCCUGGAACAUUACUGACGCUAAGGCGUGAAAGCGUGGGGAGCAAACAGGAUUAGAUACCCUCGUAGUC